CAAUAGCGUAUAUUAAAGUUGUUGCAGUUAAAAAGCUCGUAGUUGGAUUUGUGGCGUACGGUGUGUUCCGGGCACUUGUUGCCUGAGUAACCUGCUGUUGCCAUCCUUGGGUGGAACCUGUGUGGCAUUAGGUUGUCGUGCAGGGGAUGCCCAUCAUUUACUGUGAAAAAAUUAGAGUGUUCAAAGCAGGCUUAUGCCGUUGAAUAUAUUAGCAUGGAAUAAUGAGAUAGGACUUUUUUGCUAUUUUGUUGGUUUGCGCAAAGAGGUAAUGAUUAAUAGGGACAGUUGGGGGUAUUCGUAUUCCAUUGUCAGAGGUGAAAUUCUUGGAUUUUUGGAAGACGAACUACUGCGAAAGCAUUUACCAAGGAUGUUUUCAUUAAC
Molecule: ribosomal RNA, 381 nt
Filed under: uncultured eukaryote
Lineage: Eukaryota
Description: partial 18S ribosomal RNA
Rfam family: Eukaryotic small subunit ribosomal RNA
Source: RNAcentral